RNAcentral lists this RNase P RNA (358 nucleotides) under Lachnospiraceae bacterium. RNAcentral's name for it is "RNase P RNA component class A". It matches the Rfam family "Bacterial RNase P class A". Rfam says of the family: Ribonuclease P (RNase P) is a ubiquitous endoribonuclease, found in archaea, bacteria and eukarya as well as chloroplasts and mitochondria. Its best characterised activity is the generation of mature 5'-ends of tRNAs by cleaving the 5'-leader elements of precursor-tRNAs. Lineage: Bacteria; Bacillati; Bacillota; Clostridia; Lachnospirales; Lachnospiraceae. The record is from RNAcentral.
CGAGCGGAGCAGAUGAUCGCAUGCGAAAGCAUGAGGAAAGUCCGGGCUUCACAGGGCAGGAUGCCGGAUAACGUCCGGCGGAGGCGACUCCCGGGAAAGUGCAACAGAAAACAAACAGCCGGAUAGCGCAAGCUUUCCGGUAAAGGUGAAAAGGCAGUGUAAGAGACUACCGGUCCUGUGGUAACACAGGACGCAUUGAAAACCCCAUCCGAAGCAAGACCAAACAGGAGACCAUGGACCUGCCCGGUCCGUCUCCAGGUAGGUCGCUAGAGCUGUAUGGCAACAUGCAGUCGAGAUAGAUGAUCAUCCCGGCACUUAUGUGCUAUGACAGAACCCGGCUUACAGCUCCACUCUUUUU